UACGGAGGGAGCUAGCGUUGUUCGGAAUUACUGGGCGUAAAGCGCACGUAGGCGGCUUUGUAAGUUAGAGGUGAAAGCCCGGGGCUCAACUCCGGAACUGCCUUUAAGACUGCAUCGCUUGAAUCCAGGAGAGGUGAGUGGAAUUCCGAGUGUAGAGGUGAAAUUCGUAGAUAUUCGGAAGAACACCGGUGGCGAAGGCGGCAUCCUGGACCGGUAUUGACACUGAGGCGCGAAAGCUAGGGGAGCAAACAGG
Molecule: ribosomal RNA, 253 nt
Filed under: uncultured bacterium
Lineage: Bacteria
Description: partial 16S ribosomal RNA
Rfam family: Bacterial small subunit ribosomal RNA
Source: RNAcentral